AAUAAAAUGAUAAUUUAGUUCUUAAAAAUUAGCUCCUUGGUGCCACACAAAUAUCAGUUGAAGAAAACAGAAAUAUCCAAUACAGAGAAGAAAAGACUUAGAAAGAGAAUGAUGGUAAUCUCAAAGCAUUAGUAGAUAUGUCGUCGGAAAGAUGGGUUAGACUUUUUCUGUUUGACCCCAGAGGGCUAAAUGAGGAAAGAUGAAUGGAAGUGGCAGAAGCAAAUAUGGGUUCCAUAUAAAGAAAAAAAAUUUUAAACAUUAGCACUCUCCAAAAGUAGAAUCAGUCACUUCAGAGGUGGCAGGUUCUUUUUCACCAGAGGGAUUGAAGUAAGUUCAAAAUGAUCACUUGUCAGAGACUUUGAAGAAGGGAUUCUCAUCUCCAUGUGCACUGGACUCGAUGGCCUCUGGAAUGCCUUCAUUUUCAGCUUCUGUGAAAACAGGACAAAAGAUGAAUUCAUAGCUAUAGAAGACUCAGAAAAGAAAGUUCUUGUCAUCAAAGUCUUUGACACUGUCAAAUGAUUCAAUGUCAGAAACAUAUCGUUUUGUCAGUGAAAAUGACACUAAAAAUGAUGUAUUACCAUCUCCUUUGCAACUAUGUACUACGGACCAUGGAGUCUUUCUAUCUGGCUUACAGCUUAAUGCUCUGUUCCCAAUGCAUAUACCAACAUCACCAGAUCAUUAUGACUGAUGAUCAUUUGCAGAGUAAACAAAAAAUGGUGUCCCAGGAUGCACCACUUCCAGGAUUUCUCCUGCCUUUGGAGCAAGUUGCCACAUUGCAAAUAUGACAACAAAUGAAAUGAUGAUAGCAUCUGCUUAAUCUGGCUUUUGUCCAUGUGUCACAACUGCCAUGUAUUGAGGGUAAUUGAGACUUUUUUUUAUUUGCUUAAGUCUCUUUUGUUCAUUUAAUUUUCCCUGACGUGAUCUUACUUCAAUCAUCUUUGACUGAAACACUGUCAAUUUUUAAUGGAGAUGUAUUUCUUCAUCUUUAAUUUUUAAGAAAAAGGCAUACCAAACAUUUGCUCUGUCAUGGUUAAUUUUGUUGAAAUUAUGUUAAAUACACCAAGACUAUCAAUGCUGUUUGGUCUUAAACCAUAAUUUGUAUUUGAGGUAACAGUCCUUAGUAUACAGUGUAUGGUCAAUAAAUGUUAAUUGAUGAU
Molecule: non-coding RNA, 1157 nt
Organism: Phascolarctos cinereus (koala)
Lineage: Eukaryota; Metazoa; Chordata; Mammalia; Diprotodontia; Phascolarctidae
Source: RefSeq, a predicted model, not a curated record